CGCAGGUAAAGCGUUUAAAUUUUCUUUUCUUGGCAACCCAAAUUGUGGGAAAAGUCUGAUAUAAAAUAUGUGCGCCAAUAACAAGGGUCGUAGCAUAAAAAUGAAAUGAAAAAAAUCAGUAUACUUUAUUGUUUUACGGGUAUCGAAUUGUCUUUUGCAUAACAUCAAUAUAAAUUGUGAAAUAAAAUGAUUUAGCAUUAGACGCCUUGCAAGGGGUAUUAUAUGUUAUUUUCUAACAAAUUGUGCAAUAUUUUUGGGGAUUGCUUUAAGAAUUAAAUAAGGCUUCGAUUAAAUUUAAUUCACAAUUUAGGUGACAGUCUGUUAAAUUCAAGACACUUUGCCAGAGCCAAUUAAAUGCAUGGCAUUUGCAUAUUUGAUAAGCACUUGGUCAACUAAUUAGUGGAAUUUACAGCUACGAGUGCGAGUGCUCGCAUAAAAUCAAGUUAUUAUUCGAAUUGAUGCAGUACGAGAUAACAAGACAAAAAAAUAGAAUUGAAAUUCAAAACCAUAAAACCAAAAAGUGAGCAAGUUUCUGGCAGAGCGGAAAACAUUCGGGAAAGUUAAUAAAGCCAAGGAUAAGCACUCCAGCUCUGCCCUGAUGACAACUUGACGUAGCAGAAGCUGAAGCAGCCACAGUAGCAUCAUCAUCAACAUCUCAUCUCAUCAUCUCGCAACCGCAGAGCUCAGUGAUGCGACAAGCUGAGGACGCGAAAAGCGGGUUUAUUUUUUUUUUUUUAAUAAGUCAAAAGAAAAUAAAUAAGUAUGAAGUCAUUCCCGUUGCCAACUGUCAACACAGCUCUGAUGAUGAAGAUGAAGAAGACAGUUGUUGUUAUGGCAAAGGAAUUUACUACAAUUUCGUGACAGAUCAACGCCUUUUAGAUUUCGUAGAAGUAAUUUAAUAUAUGCAACUGUCACAGCAACAAACUCAAUCAAAUAAACGUGAAUAUGCGAGCUGAUUUCAGCUGAUUGAGUCAACAUAAUUUGCCAAUGGCCGGAAAUCGACUUCGGGCAAAAAUAAACA
Molecule: long non-coding RNA, 1021 nt
Organism: Drosophila albomicans
Lineage: Eukaryota; Metazoa; Arthropoda; Insecta; Diptera; Drosophilidae
Exons: 3
Source: RefSeq, a predicted model, not a curated record